This 406-nucleotide ribosomal RNA is filed under the name uncultured bacterium. Its description in RNAcentral is "partial 16S ribosomal RNA". It matches the Rfam family "Bacterial small subunit ribosomal RNA", at positions 30 to 526 of the family's 1533-position model. The record is from RNAcentral.
AUUGAACGCUGGCGGCAGGCCUAACACAUGCAAGUCGAACGAGUGGCGGACGGGUGAGUAAUGUCUGGGAAACUGCCUGAUGGAGGGGGAUAACUCCUGGAAACGGUAGCUAAUCCCGCAUACCAUCAGAUGUGCCCAGAUGGGAUUAGUUUGUGGGUGGGGUAACGGCUCACAAAGGCGACGAUCCAUAGCUGGUCUGCGAGGAUGACCAGCCACACUGGAACUGAGACACGGUCCAUACUCAUACGGGAGGCAGCAGUGGGGAAUAUUGCGCAAUGGGCGCAAGCCUGAUGCAGCCAUGCCGCGUGUAUGAAGAAGGCCUUCGGGUUGUAAAGUUCUUUCAGCGGGGAGGCGUUACCCGCAGAAGAAGCACCGGCUAACUCCGUGCCAGCAGCCACGGUAAUAC